This 29-nucleotide non-coding RNA is filed under the name Rattus norvegicus (Norway rat). The record is from RNAcentral. Lineage: Eukaryota; Metazoa; Chordata; Mammalia; Rodentia; Muridae.
UGAAGGACUGGUGACAUGGUGACAUUAAG